GCCCUAGCUCAGUGGAAGAGCAUCUGCCUUGGAUACAGAAGGUCACAAGUUCAAUCCCCGGUAGGGCU
RNAcentral lists this transfer RNA (68 nucleotides) under Podarcis lilfordi (Lilford's wall lizard). RNAcentral describes it as "tRNA.Pro". It matches the Rfam family "tRNA". From Rfam's summary of the family: Transfer RNA (tRNA) molecules are approximately 80 nucleotides in length. Their secondary structure includes four short double-helical elements and three loops (D, anti-codon, and T loops). Lineage: Eukaryota; Metazoa; Chordata; Lepidosauria; Squamata; Lacertidae. The record is from RNAcentral.